UACGAAGGGGGCUAGCGUUGUUCGGAAUUACUGGGCGUAAAGCGCGCGCAGGCGGUCUUCCAAGUCAGUGGUGAAAGCCCGGAGCUCAACUCCGGAACUGCCAUUGAAACUGUGAGACUGGAGUACGAGAGAGGUGAGUGGAAUUCCCAGUGUAGAGGUGAAAUUCGUAGAUAUUGGGAAGAACACCGGUGGCGAAGGCGGCUCACUGGCGCGUAACUGACGCUCAGGCGCGACAGCGUGGGGAUCAAACAGG
This 253-nucleotide ribosomal RNA is filed under the name uncultured bacterium. RNAcentral's name for it is "partial 16S ribosomal RNA". It matches the Rfam family "Bacterial small subunit ribosomal RNA", at positions 524 to 776 of the family's 1533-position model. The record is from RNAcentral.